UUAGGAAACAAAUGAGAAGGCAAGAACAUAGAAGACCAGAUUGAAAAUUCUGGAAGCAAUCUAAGGCAGGAAAUGUCUCACUCUGGACACAAACCUUACAAGCAUGAGGAAUAUGAAGAGGAUCUAUGUGAAUUUAAUCACUACAGGAAAUCACUGCCUUCUCUGGAAACUGUUUCCUCCCAAAUGUUAAUACAAACUGGAAAUGAACCUUUUAAAAGUGCAGUAUGUGGGAAAGUCUUCAGUUGUUCCAGUUCCAUUCAAAGGCAUGAAGAAACUCAUACUGGGCACAAACCCUAUGACUGUAUACAGUGUGGUGAAACCCUUUUGUCUCUGACAGGUGUUCAAAGACACAUGAUAAUACACAGUGGAAAUUAACCUUUUAAAUAUAAGGUAUGUGGGAAAACCAUUCCCUAUCAUAGUUUAUUUAGAAUACAUCAAAGAACACAUACUGUAGAGAAACCCUAUGAAUGUAAAUACUGUGCUCAAACCUUUAUUUCACUCCCAAGUCUUCAAAGGCACAUAGUCAUGCACACUGGGAAUACACCUUUUAUACAUAAAGUAUGUGGUAAAUACUUUGUUUAUCCCAGUUUUUUAAAAAAUGCAUCAAAGAACACAUACUGGAGAGAAACCCUAUCAAUGUGAAUGAUGUGGGAAAGACUUCACACAUCAAAAUUCUUUUAUAAGACUUCGAAGAGCUCAUACAGAGCAGAAGUUCUAUGAAUGUAAACAAUGUGGAAAAGCCUUCACUGGUUCCUCUUCCCUUCAGAUCCAUACAUCAGCUGAAACUGUGGAGAAGCCCUAUGUAUUCAAAGAAUGUGUGAGAGCGUUCACUCAUUCCUGUCACCUUCAAAUACAUGAACAAACUCAUACUGGAGAGAAGUCAUAUAAAUGUGAACAAUGUGGAAAAGUUUUCACUCGUUCCCCUCAACUUCAAAUACAUGAAUGAACUCAUACUGGCGAGAAACCCUAUGAAUGUGAACAAUGUGGGAAAGCCUUUACUACUUCCACUCAACUUCAACUACAUGAACACACUCAUACUGGAGAGAAACCUUAUAAAUGUGAACAAUUUGGAAUAGCUUUCACUCAUUUCUCUUACUUUCACAUAUAUAAACAAACUCAUACCAAAGAAAAUCCCCAUGAAUGAGAACAAUGUGGGAAAGUCUUCAUGAGUUCCUCUGUACUUCAAACACAUAAACUCAUCCUGAAGAGAAACCCUAUAAAUGUGAAGAAUGUGAAAAAGCUUACAUUUGUUCCUCUUACCUUCAGAUGCAUAAGCAAACUCAUACUGGAGAGAAACCCUAAUUAUGUGACCAAUGUGGGAAAGCCUUCACUAGUUCCUUUAUACUUCAAAAACAUAAAUGACCUCACUGGAUAAAAAUCUAUAAAUGAGAACAAUGUGGGAAAGCCUUCACUAGUUCCUCUCACCUUCACUCACAUAAACGAUCUCACACUGGAGAAAAGCCCUAUAAAUGUAAUCAAUGUGUGAAAGCCUUCACUACUUCCACUUAACUUCAGUUACAUGAAUGAACUCAUACUGGAGAGAGGCCCUAUGAAUGUAAACAAUGUGGGAAAGCCUUUACUCCGUGCUCUAACCUUCACUCACAUGAACGAACUCAUUUUGGACAGAAGCCCUGUGAAUAUAAACAAAGUGGUAAAGGCUUUGCUAGAUCUAGUCAGUUUCACUUACACAAAUGAACUCAUAUUAGAGAGAAAUUCUACUAAUGAAAACAAGAGGCAAACAUUUUAUUACCAUUUUACUCCUAAAUAGUAAGAACUGUACUGAAGAAAAUUCCUUUGAAUGUAAAAUGUGGUAAAUGAAUAUUCCUUAUCAGUUACAAAGACAUGAAUGGUCUCAUACUGCAGAACAACUUUUUGUUGUUCUGAGGAUUUAGUACGGGGGUGCUCAACCAUUAAGCUACAAUCCCUGUCCUUUUCAUUUUUAUAUGGAGACAGACUUGCUAAGUUGCUUAGGGCUUUGCUAAGUUACUGAGGCUGGAGUCAAAAUUGUGAUUUUUUCCUGAGUCACUGGGAUUACAGGUAUGCAGUACCCCAUCUGACUGAAUAAAAUUUUGAAUGUAAAAAAUAUGGCAAAUCAUUCUGUUUUUCCAAUUGCCUUCAAAGGAACUUCAUUGAGACUGAAAAACAAACACUCUGUGUGAUGUUUCAUUUUUCUUGUCAUCUAUGGAAGUCAUUGUGGAGAGAAGCCCUGUGAAUGUGAGAAAUGUGGGAAAUGAAACCUUCCAGUUUUCCCAGUUUCUUCCAAGGACUGGGAAGAUUCAUGUUGAAAGAUUUAUGU
Long non-coding RNA from Sciurus carolinensis (gray squirrel), 2296 nucleotides. RefSeq lists it as uncharacterized. The transcript has 2 exons. Lineage: Eukaryota; Metazoa; Chordata; Mammalia; Rodentia; Sciuridae. The record is from RefSeq and is a predicted model, not a curated record.